UGAAUUAAGGUAGCACAAUACAAAGAUUUCAUACCUCCAAUUCCCCAGUUUUAAAAUGCUGUAACUUUCUUCAUAAUGCUUGAAAAUUUAUAAAAGGGUAUCUAUGGAUAGUUAGCAGAUUACUCUUACAUAGUAAUGCAAUGUUAGUAUUAUACAACAAUUAUGUAAUUAAUUAUAAUGAUAACUGUGUCUACAAAAUUUUACAAGAAAUUUCCACUUUCAAUUGAAAUUAGCUUCUUCAUGGAUCCCCGAGAAGGUUGGUUUCAUUAUAUGUUGUUCAUUGAGCCAUUAUCUACAAAAGGGUGUCGCAGAUUUGGAUAGAAUGUAUAGAUCAAAUUUUACACCUAAUUAUACAUUAUCUACGUUUAUGUGGUAGGGAUGUUUACACUAAUUACAAAUUUAUGAAAGAAUGGAAUACGAUAGCGAUAAUUUGAGACACCCUUUUGUAGCUCCUGCUGUGUUGAUUAAGAUAACGUCAACAUUUCUUGUGUAGCUAUAGAGAUGAAAGAGCUAAAUUCAUUCAAGUACACUGACCAUGAUUUUGCCAUAAAUUGCAUAAUAAUUGAUUACAU
RNAcentral lists this long non-coding RNA (572 nucleotides) under Mytilus galloprovincialis (Mediterranean mussel). The record is from RNAcentral. Lineage: Eukaryota; Metazoa; Mollusca; Bivalvia; Mytilida; Mytilidae.